CCAAAUAAAUGUGGAGCAUGGCACUGGAGAAGCCCAGGCCACUGGCUGCACAGAUGUGGGAGAUCACUGUGUAGCUCCCCUAUCCCAGGGGAUAGACUCAGUGGUGAGGCUGCAUGCAACCCUGACACAGCACAAUGACUGGGCCUGCCCCUCUGCACUAGGUGCCUGUCUGCCAAGCAGGAGCCAAGUUUGGAGGGUCUUA
Chelonoidis abingdonii (Abingdon island giant tortoise) is the source of this 202-nucleotide non-coding RNA. NCBI's taxonomy places the organism in Eukaryota, Metazoa, Chordata, Testudines, Testudinidae. The record is from RefSeq and is a predicted model, not a curated record.